This 229-nucleotide unclassified non-coding RNA is filed under the name uncultured Geminibasidium. Its description in RNAcentral is "sequence contains ITS2". The record is from RNAcentral. Lineage: Eukaryota; Fungi; Basidiomycota; Geminibasidiomycetes; Geminibasidiales; Geminibasidiaceae.
ACACCUCAACCCUCCAGUGUUUUUUCAUUGGAGGCGUUGGUAGUGAGCGCUGCCGGACUUUUAAUCGGCUCGCUUUAAAAUCAUUAGCUGGAUCCAUUCUGACCUGGUUCUACUCGGCGUAAUAAGUUAUUAUCGUCGAGGACGCCUGGCCUUCUGGGCAGGCGGCCACAGUAAGGGUGUUCGAACCGCUUCCAAACACGUCUUGCUCUUGUAGCAAACACUUGAACCU